GAAGAACGCUGGCGGCGUGCUUAACACAUGCAAGUCGAACGGAAAGGCCCUGCUUUUGUGGGGUGCUCGAGUGGCGAACGGGUGAGUAACACGUGAGUAACCUGCCCUUGACUUUGGGAUAACUUCAGGAAACUGGGGCUAAUACCGGAUAGGAGCUCCUGCUGCAUGGUGGGGGUUGGAAAGUUUCGGCGGUUGGGGAUGGACUCGCGGCUUAUCAGCUUGUUGGUGGGGUAGUGGCUUACCAAGGCUUUGACGGGUAGCCGGCCUGAGAGGGUGACCGGCCACAUUGGGACUGAGAUACGGCCCAGACUCAUACGGGAGGCAGCAGUGGGGAAUAUUGCACAAUGGGCGGAAGCCUGAUGCAGCAACGCCGCGUGCGGGAUGACGGCCUUCGGGUUGUAAACCGCUUUCGCCUGUGACGAAGCGUGAGUGACGGUAAUGGGUAAAGAAGCACCGGCUAACUACGUG
Molecule: ribosomal RNA, 468 nt
Filed under: uncultured bacterium
Lineage: Bacteria
Description: partial 16S ribosomal RNA
Rfam family: Bacterial small subunit ribosomal RNA
Source: RNAcentral